Molecule: transfer RNA, 58 nt
Filed under: Zea mays
Lineage: Eukaryota; Viridiplantae; Streptophyta; Magnoliopsida; Poales; Poaceae
Rfam family: tRNA
About the family: Transfer RNA (tRNA) molecules are approximately 80 nucleotides in length. Their secondary structure includes four short double-helical elements and three loops (D, anti-codon, and T loops). Further hydrogen bonds mediate the characteristic L-shaped molecular structure. tRNAs have two regions of fundamental functional importance: the anti-codon, which is responsible for specific mRNA codon recognition, and the 3' end, to which the tRNAs corresponding amino acid is attached (by aminoacyl-tRNA synthetases). tRNAs cope with the degeneracy of the genetic code in two manners: having more than one tRNA (with a specific anti-codon) for a particular amino acid; and 'wobble' base-pairing, i.e. permitting non-standard base-pairing at the 3rd anti-codon position.
Source: Rfam by way of RNAcentral
UAGCUCAGUUGGUAGAGCACAAGGCUUUGAACCCUGUGGUCGUGGGUUCAAGCCCCAU